This 293-nucleotide ribosomal RNA is filed under the name uncultured prokaryote. RNAcentral's name for it is "partial 16S ribosomal RNA". It matches the Rfam family "Archaeal small subunit ribosomal RNA", at positions 455 to 747 of the family's 1478-position model. The record is from RNAcentral.
GUGUCAGCCGCCGCGGUAAUACCGGCAGUCCGAGUGAUCCCCGAUCUUAUUGGGCCUAAAGCGUCCGUAGCUGGCUGAAGAAGUCCGUAGGGUAAUCUGUCCGCAUAACGCCCAGGCGUCCAGCGGAAACUGUUCAGCUUGGGACCGGAAGACCUGAGGGGUACGUCUGGGGUAGGAGUGAAAUCCUGUAAUCCUGGACGGACCGCCGGGGGCGAAAGCGCCUCAGGAGAACGGAUCCGACAGUGAGGGACGUUAGCUAGGGUCUCGAACCGGAUUAGAUACCCCAGUAGUCC